RNAcentral lists this ribosomal RNA (254 nucleotides) under uncultured bacterium. RNAcentral's name for it is "partial 16S ribosomal RNA". It matches the Rfam family "Bacterial small subunit ribosomal RNA", at positions 524 to 776 of the family's 1533-position model. The record is from RNAcentral.
CACGUAGGGUGCGAGCGUUGUCCGGAAUUAUUGGGCGUAAAGAGCUCGUAGGCGGUGUGUCGCGUCGGCCGUGAAAACCUGCAGCUUAACUGUGGGCUUGCGGUCGAUACGGGCAUCACUGGAGUUCGGCAGGGGAGACUGGAAUUCCUGGUGUAGCGGUGAAAUGCGCAGAUAUCAGGAGGAACACCGGUGACGAAGGCGGGUCUCUGGGCCGAUACUGACGCUGAGGAGCGAAAGCGUGGGGAGCGAACAGG